Molecule: long non-coding RNA, 308 nt
Organism: Ficedula albicollis (Collared flycatcher)
Lineage: Eukaryota; Metazoa; Chordata; Aves; Passeriformes; Muscicapidae
Exons: 3
Source: RefSeq, a predicted model, not a curated record
GGAUGUGGUGGUGGCACUGGAAGACAAGCGUGCCUGGGACACGCUGCUCUGUGCUGACACCCAGCACUGUGCUGUAGGCGUGCUGGCCAGAGAAAUGUGCCAUGAAUCCGUAGCCUUGUGUUCCGAGAUUGCCUCCUCCCUGCUCGGGCUGCUCAGCAAAGACACGCCAUGCUGGGAUUUGGCCACCAUGGCGUUCCUUGUGGAGAUUCUCCAGUGCCUGGCCUGCAGUGAAUGGCACGAGCGCGCCCUGGACAUCAUGUCAAAGAACCUGCAGAGCGAGUGCAGGGAGAGGCAUCGCCUGGCACUCC